RNAcentral lists this ribosomal RNA (442 nucleotides) under uncultured bacterium. RNAcentral's name for it is "partial 16S ribosomal RNA". It matches the Rfam family "Bacterial small subunit ribosomal RNA", at positions 338 to 795 of the family's 1533-position model. The record is from RNAcentral.
CCUACGGGUGGCAGCAGUGGGGAAUAUUGGGCAAUGGGCGCAAGCCUUACCCAGCAAUACCGCGUGAGUGAAGAAGGUCUUCGGAUUGUAAAGCUCUUUGAUCAGGGACGAACAGAUGACGGUACCUGAAGAACAAGCCCCGGCUAACUACGUGCCAGCAGCCGCGGUAAAACGUAGGGGGCGAGCGUUGUCCGGAAUGACUGGGCGUAAAGGGUGCGCAGACGGCAAUGCAAGCCAGGAGUGAAAGCCCGGGGCCCAACCCCGGGACUGCUCUUGGAACUGCAUGGCUGGAGUACAGGAGGGGCAGGCGGAAUUCCUAGUGUAGCGGUGAAAUGCGUAGAUAUUAGGAGGAACACCGGUGGCGAAGGCGGCCUGCUGGACUGUGACUGACGUUGAGGCCCGAAGGCGUGGGGAGCAAACAGGAUUAGAUACCCGAGUAGUC